AGUGAACGCUGGCGGUAGGCCUAACACAUGCAAGUCGAACGGCAGCACAGGAGAGCUUGCUCUCUGGGUGGCGAGUGGCGGACGGGUGAGGAAUACAUCGGAAUCUACUCUGUCGUGGGGGAUAACGUAGGGAAACUUACGCUAAUACCGCAUACGACCUACGGAUGAAAGCAGGGGAUCUUCGGACCUUGCGCGAUUGAAUGAGCCGAUGUCGGAUUAGCUAGUUGGCGGGGUAAAGGCCCACCAAGGCGACGAUCCGUAGCUGGUCUGAGAGGAUGAUCAGCCACACUGGAACUGAGACACUGUCCAGACUCCUACGGGAGGCAGCAGUGGGGAAUAUUGGACAAUGGGCGCAAGCCUGAUCCGGCCAUACCGCGUGGGUGAAGAAGGCCUUCGGGUUGUAAAGCCCUUUUGUUGGGAAAGAAAUCCAGCUGGCUAAUACCCGGUUGGGAUGACGGUACCCAAAGAAUAAGCACCGGCUAACUUCGUGCCAGCAGCCGCCGUAA
Molecule: ribosomal RNA, 506 nt
Filed under: uncultured bacterium
Lineage: Bacteria
Description: partial 16S ribosomal RNA
Rfam family: Bacterial small subunit ribosomal RNA
Source: RNAcentral